Molecule: non-coding RNA, 344 nt
Organism: Cyanistes caeruleus (blue tit)
Lineage: Eukaryota; Metazoa; Chordata; Aves; Passeriformes; Paridae
Source: RefSeq, a predicted model, not a curated record
CCAGGUGAUACCCUUGGAUAUAACCCUGGAGCUCCAGAAGCAGAUCAUGUCCGAGUUAGAAAUUCUCUACAAGUGCGACUCCUCGUAUAUCAUAGGAUUUUAUGGUGCUUUUUUUGUAGAAAACAGGAUUUCAUUGUGCACAGAGUUCAUGGAUGAAUGAAAUGCAAUGGUAACACUCAAAAAUGUGCAGCAUUAAUAAUAUUGCAGGUAGUUAAAAAAACCCAGAGCAGGUUGGGAUCGGGAUUGGGGGAUAUUCUGCAUUUUCCCUGCGUGGAACUUCGCUUACUUUUAUGGAAAAUGUAAAUAGAAGAGAAAUAAACGCAGCCUUAAUUUGUGGUUUGAUA